This 475-nucleotide ribosomal RNA is filed under the name uncultured organism. Its description in RNAcentral is "partial 16S ribosomal RNA". It matches the Rfam family "Bacterial small subunit ribosomal RNA", at positions 333 to 799 of the family's 1533-position model. The record is from RNAcentral.
ACACUCCUACGGGAGGCAGCAGUGGGGAAUUUUGGACAAUGGGCGAAAGCCUGAUCCAGCAAUGCCGCGUGAGUGAAGAAGGCCUUCGGGUUGUAAAGCUCUUUUGUCAGGGAAGAAAAGGUGAGAGCUAAUAUCUCUUGCUAAUGACGGUACCUGAAGAAUAAGCACCGGCUAACUACGUGCCAGCAGCCGCGGUAAUACGUAGGGUGCAAGCGUUAAUCGGAAUUACUGGGCGUAAAGCGUGCGCAGGCGGUUUUGUAAGUCUGAUGUGAAAUCCCCGGGCUCAACCUGGGAAUUGCAUUGGAGACUGCAAGGCUAGAAUCUGGCAGAGGGGGGUAGAAUUCCACGUGUAGCAGUGAAAUGCGUAGAUAUGUGGAGGAACACCGAUGGCGAAGGCAGCCCCCUGGGUCAAGAUUGACGCUCAUGCACGAAAGCGUGGGGAGCAAACAGGAUUAGAAACCCCGGUAGUCCCAUG